This 251-nucleotide ribosomal RNA is filed under the name uncultured prokaryote. Its description in RNAcentral is "partial 16S ribosomal RNA". It matches the Rfam family "Bacterial small subunit ribosomal RNA", at positions 525 to 775 of the family's 1533-position model. The record is from RNAcentral.
ACGUAGGGUGCGAGCGUUAAUCGGAAUUACUGGGCGUAAAGCGUACGCAGGCGGCUGGGUAAGACAGAGGUGAAAUCCCCUUGCUUAACCUUGGACCUGCUUUUGUGACUGUAGGGCUUGAGUGCGGCAGAGGGGGGUGGAAUUCCACGUGUAGCAGUGAAAUGCGUAGAGAUGUGGAGGAACACCGAUGGCGAAGGCAGCCCCCUGGGUCGACACUGACGCUCAUGCACGAAAGCGUGGGGAGCAAACAG